This 260-nucleotide ribosomal RNA is filed under the name Limosilactobacillus fermentum. Its description in RNAcentral is "partial 16S ribosomal RNA". It matches the Rfam family "Bacterial small subunit ribosomal RNA", at positions 1275 to 1533 of the family's 1533-position model. The record is from RNAcentral. Lineage: Bacteria; Bacillati; Bacillota; Bacilli; Lactobacillales; Lactobacillaceae.
CUUAAAACCGUUCUCAGUUCGGACUGCAGGCUGCAACUCGCCUGCACGAAGUCGGAAUCGCUAGUAAUCGCGGAUCAGCAUGCCGCGGUGAAUACGUUCCCGGGCCUUGUACACACCGCCCGUCACACCAUGAGAGUUUGUAACACCCAAAGUCGGUGGGGUAACCUUUUAGGAGCCAGCCGCCUAAGGUGGGACAGAUGAUUAGGGUGAAGUCGUAACAAGGUAGCCGUAGGAGAACCUGCGGCUGGAUCACCUCCUUU